AAAGUUAUCCUGGCUCAGGACGAACGCUGGCGGCGUGCUUAACACAUGCAAGUCGAACGGUAAGGCCCCUUCGGGGGUACACGAGUGGCGAACGGGUGAGUAACACGUGGGUAAUCUGCCCUGCACUUCGGGAUAAGCCUGGGAAACUGGGUCUAAUACCGGAUAUGAACUCCUGCCGCAUGGUGGGGGUUGGAAAGUUUUUCGGUGCAGGAUGAGCCCGCGGCCUAUCAGCUUGUUGGUGGGGUAAUGGCCUACCAAGGCGACGACGGGUAGCCGGCCUGAGAGGGUGAUCGGCCACACUGGGACUGAGACACGGCCCAGACUCCUACGGGAGGCAGCAGUGGGGAAUAUUGCACAAUGGGCGAAAGCCUGAUGCAGCGACGCCGCGUGGGGGAUGACGGUCUUCGGAUUGUAAACCCCUUUCAGUAGGGACGAAGCGCAAGUGACGGUACCUGCAGAAGAAGCACCGGCUAAC
RNAcentral lists this ribosomal RNA (475 nucleotides) under Dietzia sp. RNAcentral describes it as "bacterial SSU rRNA". It matches the Rfam family "Bacterial small subunit ribosomal RNA", at positions 8 to 501 of the family's 1533-position model. The record is from RNAcentral. Lineage: Bacteria; Bacillati; Actinomycetota; Actinomycetes; Mycobacteriales; Dietziaceae.